CGUCGGGACGAUAAGGGCGUAGGGUGGAUGCCUAGGCACCAAAUGCCGAUGAAGGACGCUGCAGACGGCGAUACGCCUCGGGGAGCUGUCAAGCAAGCUAUGAUCCGGGGAUAUCCGAAUGGGGAAACCCGGCGUCGUGUUGAGCGACGUCACCACCAGACUUUUUGUUUGGAGGAGGGCACCCGGCGAAGUGAAACAUCUCAGUAGCCGGAGGAAGAGAAAACAAGUUGGACUACGUUUGACUGUUGCGGGUCUCGUGCGCAAGUGCGAGCCCCACGACCGUCAUCCGUGGUCUAAUCAUUCCCCAAGUAGUGGCGAGCGAACGGGGAACAGCCUAAACCACAUGAGAGGAGCCACGCGAAACUCGCGCCUGCCGCAAGGUAGGUUGCGACGAGUAGUGUGACUCGUCCGGGACGGGAGUAUCUCACGUGGGGUUAUCGCGUGAUCGGUUGGGUCCGUCCAGAGACCCAGAUUGGAGACUACACCCGCGAGGGUGAUGACAUUCCUAGUCGAAUCCCCCUGGAACGGGGAGCCAGAGCAGGUGAUAGCCCUGUAGGCGAAAGGAGUCAUGCUCCAGUGCGGUCAUCGCGGAAGUAAGGCGGGACUCGUGAAAUCCCGUUUGAAAUCGGGGCGACUACGCUCCAAGGCUAAAUACAUUUGGUGACCGAUAGUGAACCAGUACCGUGAGGGAAAGGUGAAAAGCAGCCCGGUGAGGGCAACGAAAAGACCUGAAACCCUACGCUUACAAGGAGUGGGAGCUCGGCCGAUGCGCGGCAUCGGGAAUGUCGAUAUAUCGAAAUUUCGAUAUUUCCGCUGCCGCGCAGCGGUGGGUGACCGCGUGCCUAUUGAAGAAUGAGCCAGUGAGUUCGUCGUUGUUGCUUGUCGAAGGCCUACGGGCCGAAGGCAGAGGGAAACCGAGUCUCAAUAGGGCGUCACUCGACAUAUCGAGAUAUCGAAAUUUCGACAUGUCGAGAUGGCAGCGUCAACAAGACCCGAAACCGGGUGAGCUAGCCAUGGGCAGGGUGAAGUUCGAGUAAAAUCGAGCGGAGGCCCGAACCCGUAUGUCGUGCAACGCAUUGGGAUGACCUGUGGCUAGAGGAGAAAUUCCAAUCGAACUCGGUGAUAGCUGGUUCUCCCCGAAAUAGCUUGAGGGCUAGCGCGUUCGUGACCCCUGGGGGUAGAGCACUGAAUGGGGAACGGUGGAGUGAUCCUACGUUUCCCAACCAAACUCCGAAUACCAGGCAAGUUAUACGAGCGUAGUCAGUACGUGGGGGCGAAGCUCCACGGCACAAAAGGGAAACAGCCCAGAUCUCCAGCUAAGGCCCUGAAAUCUCGACUCAGUGGGAAAGGCGGUGGGACGGCGCAGACAACCAGGAGGUUGGCUUAGAAGCAGCCAUCCUUUAAAGAAAGCGUAACAGCUCACUGGUCAAGCUGUUCUGCACCUAAAAUUUAACGGGGCUAAGUCGAGUGCCGAAGCUGAGAAUCGUACCUCGAGCGAUCGAGGUACGGUGGUAGGGGAGCGUUCCCUGCUGCGGUGAAGCCGGACCCGUGAGGGCUGGUGGAGCGCAGGGAAGUGAGAAUGCUGGCAUGAGUAGCGAUAAGGAGAGUGAGAACCUCUCCCACCGUAAACCCAAGGUUUCCUGGGCAACGAAAAUCGACCCAGGGUCAGGCGGACCUAAGGUGAGUCCUCGCGGUAACGUGAGGGGUAGCCGAUGGACAGCAGGCGAACAUUCCUGCCCUCCCCUGCCGUUGUUGUUGGAUGACGCUUCGUCGUAGUGAGCGGGUGUUUUGGCUAUACAUCUGUCUGUCGCCGUAAGGCGGUGGACGCAGGUGAAACCGCAAGGUGGAACCAAUGCUCGUGAAGGCGGAGUCGAGAAAAGUCCAACAGCGUUAACGGCUGGGGAUCCGUACCGGAAACCGACACAGGUGGGUGGGCACAAGUGUGCCAAGGUGUACGGGAGAACCCUCGUGAAGGAACUCGGCAAACUAAUGGCCGUAACUUCGGGAUAAGGCCUGCCCGUCGCAAGACGGGCCGCAGCAAACGACGCCAAGCGACUGUUUACCAAAAACACAGGUCCCUGCGAAAUCGUAAGAUGAUGUAUAGGGGCUGAUGCCUGGCCAGUGUCAGAACGUUAAGGAGAGAGGUGAAAUCCGCAAGGACGUAGCCUUGAACUGAAGCGCUGAUGAACGCCGGCGGUAACCAUAACCGUCCUAAGGUGGAAUCGCUGCCUUAGUGGGGUGGAAGACCCCCUCCGAACUUCGUGUGCCAACGGAGAUGUAGGAGAAAAUCUGGCUAUAUGCUGGAACACCCGCGCAAUGUCACCGUACCCAACGCGGUAACAAUCGGUGACCGAAGCGGGCAAUCAGCAGGAAAGACCUCCGAUGGACAUCGGGGGAAUCCUCAGAGACUAUAUGCCGGACCCGUCACAGCCUCGAGAGGUUGGCGGGAAGAUAGAGUCCGACCUGCAUGGCGACAUGCAGAGCGCGGCAGAAAUGACUGCGCCACCCGUCUGACAGUCACGCGGUGACUCUCGGCGUGGGAGCAACAACUCGAGCGUAAUCCCCUGCCGGGUGAGUUCCGGCCCGCACGAAUGGCACAACGACUUGGCGACUGUCUCCACGAGGGACCCGGCGAAAUUGCAAGGGGCGUGAAGAUGCGCUCUACCCGCGGCUGGACGAAAAGACCCUGUGAAGCUUUACUGCAGCUUGCUCUUGGGUACACACUCCGCUUGUUCAGUGUAGGUGGGAGGACCGUCGCAAGACGGCCCAACAAUGAGACACCACCCUUGCGCUGCGUGUAUUCUAAUCUCAUGCCGUUAUCCGGCGAGAGAGACAGGAGCUGGUAGGCAGUUUGACUGGGGCGGUUGCCUCCUAAAAGGUAACGGAGGCGUUCACAAAGGUCAGCUUAGCGCGGAUGGAAAUCGCGCUGGACCUGCAAGCGGACAAGCUGGCUUUACUGCAAGGCCGACACGCCGAGCAGUCACGAAAGUGGGAGCUAGUGAUCCGACCGUUCGAAGUAGGACGGCGGAAGCUCAUCGGAUAAAAGCUACUCCAGGGAUAACAGGCUGAUCUGGCCCGAGCGUCCACAGCGACGGCUAGGUUUGGCACCUCAAUAUCGGGGUGCUGCAGGAGUAAUCCUGCACGCCAGCGGGUAUAAGCUCACCCGCAACUACCGACUCAUAACGGCGGAGUCUCUUCGGAGAUAAUGCCGUGGGAAGUCGUCCUCACAAUAAGGAUUGACCCCGUAACGACUAGCGCAAAUGCGCUGACUGUCCAAUCUUCUCGAAUCUUCGAGAAAAACCACGGACAGUAAUACGUCGGCUCCCGUACAAAGCGGGAUGAAGGCAUAGUCUAGACUUCUGGUGACAGAAGAAUAAUUCCGACAGCGAUGUCGGCUCGUCACAGCGUGGGGGUGAAGAAGCUCCCAAGCGUUGGGCUGUUCGCCCAUUAAAGUGGCACGUGAGCUGGGUUCAAACCGUCGUGAGACAGGUUGGUCUCCUAUCUACUGCAGGCGCAGAGACUUGAGAGGAGUCUUCUCUAGUAAACAAAAUUGCUACUGUAGCCAGUAAUGGCUACUGACAAUUCGGCUAAUAAC
Molecule: ribosomal RNA, 3595 nt
Filed under: bacterium
Lineage: Bacteria
Description: partial 23S ribosomal RNA
Rfam family: Bacterial large subunit ribosomal RNA
Source: RNAcentral